RNAcentral lists this ribosomal RNA (491 nucleotides) under uncultured organism. Its description in RNAcentral is "bacterial SSU rRNA". It matches the Rfam family "Bacterial small subunit ribosomal RNA", at positions 28 to 507 of the family's 1533-position model. The record is from RNAcentral.
GAUGAACGCUGGCGGCGUGCCUAACACAUGCAAGUCGAACGGGGUUAUCGCAAGGAAGUCUUCGGAUGGAAUUGUGGUAACCUAGUGGCGGACGGGUGAGUAACGCGUGGGUAACCUGCCCCAUACAGGGGGAUAACAGCCGGAAACGGCUGCUAAAACCGCAUAAGCGCACACCGGCGCAUGCCGGAGUGUGAAAAUGUAUGCCUUUAAGGUAUGCAGGUAUGGGAUGGGCCCGCGUCUGAUUAGCUAGUUGGUGAGGUAACGGCUCACCAAGGCGACGAUCAGUAGCCGGCUUGAGAGAGUGACCGGCCACAUUGGGACUGAGACACGGCCCAAACUCCUACGGGAGGCAGCAGUGGGGAAUAUUGCACAAUGGGGGAAACCCUGAUGCAGCGACGCCGCGUGAGUGAAGAAGUACUUCGGUACGUAAAGCUCUAUCAGCAGGGAAGAAGAUGACGGUACCUGACUAAGAAGCCCCGGCUAACUACGUG